RNAcentral lists this ribosomal RNA (477 nucleotides) under uncultured bacterium. RNAcentral's name for it is "partial 16S ribosomal RNA". It matches the Rfam family "Bacterial small subunit ribosomal RNA", at positions 30 to 507 of the family's 1533-position model. The record is from RNAcentral.
AUUGAACGCUGGCGGCAUGCCUUACACAUGCAAGUCGAACGGUAACAGGUUAAGCUGACGAGUGGCGAACGGGUGAGUAAUGUAUCGGAACGUGCCCAGUCGUGGGGGAUAACUGCUCGAAAGAGCAGCUAAUACCGCAUACGACCUGAGGGGGAAAGCGGCGGAUCGCAAGACCUCGCGCGAUUGGAGCGGCCGAUAUCAGAUUAGGUAGUUGGUGAGGUAAAGGCUCACCAAGACGAAGAUCUGUAGCUGGUCUGAGAGGACGACCAGCCACACUGGGACUGAGACACGGCCCAGACUCCUACGGGAGGCAGCAGUGGGGAAUUUUGGACAAUGGGCGGAAGCCUGAUCCAGCCAUGCCGCGUGCGGGAAGAAGGCCUUCGGGUUGUAAACCGCUUUUGUCAGGGAAGAAAAGGUUCUGGCUAAUACCUGGGACUCAUGACGGUACCUGAAGAAUAAGCACCGGCUAACUACGUG